Molecule: non-coding RNA, 71 nt
Organism: Phrynosoma platyrhinos (Desert horned lizard)
Lineage: Eukaryota; Metazoa; Chordata; Lepidosauria; Squamata; Phrynosomatidae
Source: the annotation of a GenBank genome assembly
GCCACCGUGACAUAGUGGUUUGAGUGCUGGACUAUGACUCUGGAAGCCAGAGUUCAAUUCCCAGCUUGGCC